GCCUGGGUGGCUCAGUCAGUUGAGCGUCCGACUUCAGCUCAGGUAAUGGUCUCCCAGUUUGUAAGUUCCAGCCCUGCCUCGGGCU
RNAcentral lists this transfer RNA (85 nucleotides) under Felis catus (domestic cat). It matches the Rfam family "tRNA". From Rfam's summary of the family: Transfer RNA (tRNA) molecules are approximately 80 nucleotides in length. Their secondary structure includes four short double-helical elements and three loops (D, anti-codon, and T loops). Lineage: Eukaryota; Metazoa; Chordata; Mammalia; Carnivora; Felidae. The record is from Rfam by way of RNAcentral.